This 569-nucleotide ribosomal RNA is filed under the name uncultured bacterium. RNAcentral's name for it is "partial 16S ribosomal RNA". It matches the Rfam family "Bacterial small subunit ribosomal RNA", at positions 355 to 1375 of the family's 1533-position model. The record is from RNAcentral.
UGGGGAAUAUUGCACAAUGGGCGCAAGCCUGAUGCAGCGACGCCGCGUGAGGGAUGACGGCCUUCGGGUUGUAAACCUCUUUCAAUAGGGACGAAGCGCAAGUGACGGUACCUAUAGAAGAAGGACCGGCCAACUACGUGCCAGCAGCCGCGGUAAUACGUAGGGUCCGAGCGUCGUCCGGAAUUACUGGGCGUAAAGAGCUCGUAGGUGGUUUGUCGCGUUGUUCGUGAAAACUCACAGCUUAACUGUGGGCGUGCGGGCGAUACGGGCAGACUAGAGUACUGCAGGGGAGACUGGAAUUCCUGGUGUAGCGGUGGAAUGCGCAGAUAUCAGGAGGAACACCGGUGGCGAAGGCGGGUCUCUGGGCAGUAACUGACGCUGAGGAGCGAAAAGCGUGGGGAGCGAACAGGAUUAGAUACCCUGGUAGUCCACGCCGUAAACGGUGGGUACUAGGUGUGGGUUUCCUUCCUUGGGAUCCGUGCCGUAGCUAACGCAUUAAGUACCCCGCCUGGGGAGUACGGCCGCAAGGCUAAAACUCAAAUGAAUUGACGGGGUCAUAUCUGUUUCCU